RNAcentral lists this ribosomal RNA (301 nucleotides) under uncultured bacterium. Its description in RNAcentral is "partial 16S ribosomal RNA". It matches the Rfam family "Bacterial small subunit ribosomal RNA", at positions 509 to 809 of the family's 1533-position model. The record is from RNAcentral.
CAGUCGCCGCGGUAACACGGAGGGGGCUAGCGUCGUUCGGAAUUACUGGGCGUAAAGCGCACGUAGGCUGCUUUGUAAGUCAGAGGUGAAAGCCCGGGGCUCAACCCCGGAUGUGCCUUUGAGACUGCAGAGCUAGAAUCGCAGAGAGGUGAGUGGAAUUCCGAGUGUAGAGGUGAAAUUCGUAGAUAUUCGGAAGAACACCAGUGGCGAAGGCGGCUCACUGGACGCGUAUUGACGCUGAGGUGCGAAAGCGUGGGGAGCAAACAGGAUUAGAUACCCCUGUAGUCCCUGUCUCUUAUAA